ACGGGGGGUGCAAGCGUUGUUCGGAAUCAUUGGGCGUAAAGCGCGUGUAGGCGGCUUGGUAAGUCAGGUGUGAAAGCCCUGGGCUCAACCCAGGAAGUGCACUUGAAACUGCCUUGCUUGAGUACGGGAGAGGAAAGCGGAAUUCCUGGUGUAGGGGUAAAAUCCGUAGAUCUCAGGAGGAACACCGGUGGCGAAGGCGGCUUUCUGGAACAAUUCCGACGCUGAGACGCGAAAACGUGGGGAGCAAACAG
Molecule: ribosomal RNA, 251 nt
Filed under: uncultured prokaryote
Description: partial 16S rRNA
Rfam family: Bacterial small subunit ribosomal RNA
Source: RNAcentral